Molecule: ribosomal RNA, 483 nt
Filed under: Triticum aestivum (bread wheat)
Lineage: Eukaryota; Viridiplantae; Streptophyta; Magnoliopsida; Poales; Poaceae
Description: partial small subunit ribosomal RNA
Source: RNAcentral
AUGGCUGAAGAAGACCUUAUUUAUGAUCAAGCCCAGCCAGACGAGCCGGUUGACCAUCUUCAGCCGCCAAGCCUGACUCAUACUCCAAGCCCUCAUCAAGAGCCUGAAAAUGCUAACCAGAUGAUAGUUGAUGCUGAAGUGGUUAUUACUGGAACAGGUCACGGUGCUGCCAAUACCUCAACUAGCUGGACCAAGAUCCCAGCCAAGGAUGAGCCGGUUUGUGAAGACAAGGGUAAAGCAAAAUUGGAGCUUCCUGGCUUUGAUAAUAUGACCAGUGAAGAGCUUCAGCAUGAGUUCUUGACUCGGCUGUCUGAAAGCCGUGAUAUAGAAGCCAACAUAGUCAAUAUGUUGAAGAAGAAACAUGAGAUCAAAGCAGAGUCGAGCAUGCAAUCCACUGUUGAAGAGUUAGAGAAAGUGAAGGCGGCUUUUGAUAAGGAAAGAGCCGCCUUUGAAACCCAAAAAUCGGUGCUGAAGGACAAUUGA